UGGGGAAUAUUGCACAAUGGGGGAAACCCUGAUGCAGCAACGCCGCGUGAGUGAUGACGGCCUUCGGGUUGUAAAGCUCUGUCUUCAGGGACGAUAAUGACGGUACCUGAGGAGGAAGCCACGGCUAACUACGUGCCAGCAGCCGCGGUAAUACGUAGGUGGCAAGCGUUGUCCGGAUUUACUGGGCGUAAAGGGAGCGUAGGCGGACUUUUAAGUGAGAUGUGAAAUACCCGGGCUCAACCUGGGUGCUGCAUUUCAAACUGAAAGUCUAGAGUGCAGGAGAGGAGAGUGGAAUUCCUAGUGUAGCGGUGAAAUGCGUAGAGAUUAGGAAGAACACCAGUGGCGAAGGCGACUCUCUGGACUGUAACUGACGCUGAGGCUCGAAAGCGUGGGGAGCAAACA
This 402-nucleotide ribosomal RNA is filed under the name uncultured bacterium. RNAcentral's name for it is "bacterial SSU rRNA". It matches the Rfam family "Bacterial small subunit ribosomal RNA", at positions 355 to 774 of the family's 1533-position model. The record is from RNAcentral.